AACGAACGCUGGCGGCAUGCCUAACACAUGCAAGUCGAACGAUGUCUUUCGGGGCAUAGUGGCGCACGGGUGCGUAACGCGUGGGAAUCUGCCCUUGGGUUCGGAAUAACCGUUGGAAACGACGGCUAAUACCGGAUGAAGUCGAUAAGACCAAAGAUUUAUCGCCUGAGGAUGAGCCCGCGUAGGAUUAGCUAGUUGGUGUGGUAAGAGCGCACCAAGGCGACGAUCCUUAGCUGGUCUGAGAGGAUGAUCAGCCACACUGGGACUGAGACACGGCCCAGACUCCUACGGGAGGCAGCAGUGGGGAAUAUUGGACAAUGGGCGCAAGCCUGAUCCAGCAAUGCCGCGUGAGUGAUGAAGGCCUUAGGGUUGUAAAGCUCUUUUACCCGGGAUGAUAAUGACAGUACCGGGAGAAUAAGCUCCGGCUAACUCCGUGCCAGCCGCCGCAGUAA
RNAcentral lists this ribosomal RNA (452 nucleotides) under uncultured bacterium. Its description in RNAcentral is "partial 16S ribosomal RNA". It matches the Rfam family "Bacterial small subunit ribosomal RNA", at positions 29 to 523 of the family's 1533-position model. The record is from RNAcentral.